This 117-nucleotide ribosomal RNA is filed under the name Choloepus hoffmanni (Hoffmann's two-fingered sloth). The record is from RNAcentral. Lineage: Eukaryota; Metazoa; Chordata; Mammalia; Pilosa; Megalonychidae.
UUGGAAAGCUGUACUACCUAAAUGUGCUGGUUCUUGUCUGAUCUGGGAAGCUAAUGGGUUCAAGCCUGGUUACUACUGGGAUGGGAGGCCAUCUAGGAAUAUUGGGUGCUGUAGGCU